GGGAAACGAGGUAGCUAAUACCGGAUAGAAAAGCAGAUCGCAUGAUCAGCUUUUAAAGGCGGCGUAAAGCUGUCGCUAUGGGGAUGGCCCCGCGGUGCAUUAGCUAGUUGGUAAGGUAAAGGCUUACCAAGGGCGAUGAUGCAUAGCCCGAGUUGAGAGACUGAUCGGCCACAUUGGGGACUGAGACACGGGCCCAAACUCCUACGGGAGGCAGCAGUAGGGAAUCUUCCACAAUGGACGCAAGUCUGAUGGAGCAAACGCCGCGUGAGUGAAGAAGGUUUUCGGAUCGUAAAGCUCUGUUGUUGGUGAAGAAGGAUAGAGGUAGUAACUGGCCCUUUAUUUGACGGUAAUCAACCAGAAAGUCACGGGCUAACUACGUGCCAGCAGCCGCGGUAAAU
RNAcentral lists this ribosomal RNA (398 nucleotides) under uncultured Lactobacillus sp. RNAcentral's name for it is "bacterial SSU rRNA". It matches the Rfam family "Bacterial small subunit ribosomal RNA", at positions 151 to 525 of the family's 1533-position model. Lineage: Bacteria; Bacillati; Bacillota; Bacilli; Lactobacillales; Lactobacillaceae. The record is from RNAcentral.